Long non-coding RNA from Haliotis rubra (blacklip abalone), 243 nucleotides. RefSeq lists it as uncharacterized. The transcript has 3 exons. The record is from RefSeq and is a predicted model, not a curated record. NCBI's taxonomy places the organism in Eukaryota, Metazoa, Mollusca, Gastropoda, Lepetellida, Haliotidae.
UUGAUAUGUGUGCUAAAAGUCAUAUAUUUAUAUUCCUUGUGAGAAGGGCUUUCUUUUAAUAUAUCACAAGGUAUGGUUAAUUACAAAGAAAUAUUUUCGUCAGAUUAUUUUGAUUAUUUAAAGGACAAUGGUGGCCAUUUUGAAAUUGACGGCCAUUUUAAAAAUGCCACAAGGCAUGAUAUCACUAUAUGUAGAAUCCCUGUGAGACGAGCUUUCAUUUGAUAUGUCACAUGGCAUAAUUAU